RNAcentral lists this ribosomal RNA (455 nucleotides) under uncultured bacterium. Its description in RNAcentral is "bacterial SSU rRNA". It matches the Rfam family "Bacterial small subunit ribosomal RNA", at positions 50 to 518 of the family's 1533-position model. The record is from RNAcentral.
AACACAUGCAAGUCGAACGGAGUUAUUGGAGCUUGCUUUGAUAAACUUAGUGGCGGACGGGUGAGUAACACGUGAGCAAUCUGCCCUUAAGAGGGGGAUAGCAGUUGGAAACGACUGAUAAUACCGCAUAAGAUAGUAGUACCGCAUGGUACAGCUAUAAAAGAUUUAUCGCUUAAGGAUGAGCUCGCGUCUGAUUAGCUAGUUGGUGAGGUAACGGCUCACCAAGGCAACGAUCAGUAGCCGGACUGAGAGGUUGGACGGCCACAUUGGGACUGAGACACGGCCCAGACUCCUACGGGAGGCAGCAGUGGGGAAUAUUGCACAAUGGAGGAAACUCUGAAUGCAGCGAUGCCGCGUGAGGGAAGAAGGUUUUAGGAUUGUAAACCUCUGUUGACAGGGACGAUAAUGACGGUACCUGUUGAGGAAGCUCCGGCUAACUACGUGCCAGCAGCGGC